CGUAGGUGGCAAGCGUUGUCCGGAUUUACUGGGCGUAAAGCGCGUGUAGGUGGUUUGGAAAGUCCGGGGUGAAAUCUUGCGGCUCAACUGCAAGAGGUCCUUGGAUACUUCCAGACUUGAGGGAGGCAGAGGAAGGUGGAAUUCCCGGUGUAGUGGUGAAACGCGUAGAUAUCGGGAGGAACACCAGUGGCGAAGGCGGCCUUCUGGGCCUUUCCUGACGCUGAGGCGCGAAAGCGUGGGUAGCAAACCGGAUUAGAUACCCGGGUAGUCCACGCCCUAAACGAUGAGCACUAGGUGUGGGGGGUAUCGACCCCCUCCGUGCCGAAGCUAACGCGAUAAGUGCUCCGCCUGGGGACUACGGCCGCAAGGCUA
RNAcentral lists this ribosomal RNA (372 nucleotides) under uncultured organism. RNAcentral's name for it is "bacterial SSU rRNA". It matches the Rfam family "Bacterial small subunit ribosomal RNA", at positions 526 to 896 of the family's 1533-position model. The record is from RNAcentral.